UACAGGGGGAUAACACUUAGAAAUAGGUGCUAAUACCGCAUAAGCGCACGGUUCCGCAUGGAACAGUGUGAAAAACUCCGGUGGUAUACGAUGGAUCCGCGUCUGAUUAGCCAGUUGGCGGGGUAACGGCCCACCAAAGCGACGAUCAGUAGCCGGCCUGAGAGGGUGAACGGCCACAUUGGGACUGAGACACGGCCCAAACUCCUACGGGAGGCAGCAGUGGGGAAUAUUGCACAAUGGGGGAAACCCUGAUGCAGCGACGCCGCGUGAGUGAAGAAGUAUUUCGGUACGUAAAGCUCUAUCAGCAGGGAAGAAAAAAAGUCCUUUGGACUUUGGACGGUACCUGACCAAGAAGCCCCGGCUAACUACGUGCCAGCAGCCGCGGUAAUACGUAGGGGGCAAGCGUUAUCCGGAUUUACUGGGUGUAAAGGGAGCGUAGACGGCAGCGCAAGUCUGGAGUGAAAUGCCGGGGCCCAACCCCGGAACUGCUUUGGAAACUGUGCAGCUGGAGUGCAGGAGAGGUAAGCGGAAUUCCUAGUGUAGCGGUGAAAUGCGUAGAUAUUAGGAGGAACACCAGUGGCGAAGGCGGCUUACUGGACUGUAACUGACGUUGAGGCUCGAAAGCGUGGGGAGCAAACAGGAUUAGAUACCCUGGUAGUCCACGCCGUAAACGAUGAUUACUAGGUGUCGGGGGGCCAAGGCCCUUCGGUGCCGCCG
RNAcentral lists this ribosomal RNA (717 nucleotides) under uncultured bacterium. RNAcentral describes it as "bacterial SSU rRNA". It matches the Rfam family "Bacterial small subunit ribosomal RNA", at positions 134 to 851 of the family's 1533-position model. The record is from RNAcentral.